Cucurbita maxima (winter squash) is the source of this 1824-nucleotide RNA transcript. It is a transcript of the gene named probable acyl-[acyl-carrier-protein]--UDP-N-acetylglucosamine O-acyltransferase, mitochondrial, with no coding region annotated. The transcript is spliced from 12 exons. Lineage: Eukaryota; Viridiplantae; Streptophyta; Magnoliopsida; Cucurbitales; Cucurbitaceae. The record is from RefSeq and is a predicted model, not a curated record.
AAAAAUAAUUUGCGGGGAGAAAGAUCUUGGCGCCGAUUUUAAGAAGACUGUGUCGGGUCGUAAUCGAACGCUUUCUUUUCGGAGUCUCCGGCAACUGAUUUUCGUCGAGGAAGAGUCAAUACUCCCUCCGUCGCUCUCAAUUUCCCGCUGAUGCAGUCACUUCUCAAAGCUCGCCGCUCAUUUUGCUCACUGAAUCAUCUUCGUCGCUCAUCAACUUUCAUUUUGGAAGACGAAAAAUCGGAAACUGCCAUUGAAAGAAGCUCUACGUUCAUCCAUCCAACCGCUGUCGUACAUCCGAAUGCUGUAAUUGGCGAGGAUGGAUAUAUUGGUCCAUUCUGUACUGUGGGGGCCUUUGCAAAGCUGGGAAAUGGUUGUCAAUUACAUCCUGGAAGCCACAUUUUUGGGUGCACAGAACUAGGGGAUCGAUGUGUCUUGAUGACUGGCGCAAUAGUUGGUGAGGACCUUCCUGGUCGUACGGUCAUUGGGUGUAAUAACAAAAUAGGUCACCAUGCAGUGGUUGGCAUUAGAUGCCAAGACAUGAAAUACAAGCCAGGGGAUGAAUGCUUCCUUGAUAUUGGAGAUAACAAUGACAUAAGAGAACAUUCAUCAAUCCACCGAUCUUCGAAGUCAAGUGAUGUGACGGCUAUUAGUGACAACAAUCUCAUAAUGGGAUCCUGUCAUAUUGCUCAUGAUUGCAAGAUCGGGAACAACAAUAUUUUUGCAAAUAAUACUCUUCUAGCCGGCCAUGUUGUAGUGGAGGACUACGUUCACACAGCAGGCGCCACUGCAGUUCAUCAAUUCUGCCAUGUUGGUUCUUUCUCAUUUGUUGCUGCGGGUUCGAUGGUUUCCCAAGAUGUACCUAAAUAUAUGAUGGUGGCGGGAGAAAGACCAGAACUUCGUGGUUUGAAUCUAGAGGGACUUCGGCGCAAUGGAUUCACGGUGGAAGAGAUCAAUGGCUUGAGAUCUGCUUACAGGAAGGUAUUCAUGCCUACUGAUACAAAGUUUAAAGGGUUGGAAGAACGUCUCGAAGAAGUGGAGCAGAAUGAAAAAUUGGCUCACAUACCUUCAGUGCAUUCCAUGAUUCAGUCUAUUCGUGCCUCGUUUCAACAAAAUCGUAGGGGCAUAUGCAAAUUCAGACUAUGGAAUGGCAUUUAAGAUAAACUAACUACUGCUCUAUAUGCCCUUUAGAAGUUGCACAUGAAUCUCCUGAUGGGAACACAAAUCUGCAGUGCUGUGGACAAUUUCUUGGUCAGCUCCCUGGAAAAUGGAAAGGAAAGGAAAGGAAUGGAACUCUUCAGCUUGACCAAGGUUGUAGGAAAUCCAAAGCAAUCUUUCAAAGGUAACAACCUCUGACUUUGAAAAAUAGUUCUAAAAAUACACAAAGGGGAAAAGGAAAAACGAAAGUCCUCUCUAGACAGCAUCUUUUUCAAUUGCAUCACAAUUAUAUAUAAAAAAAUUCUAUCCUUUCAACAUAAAUUAAAGAGAAAUGAUUAAAAAAAGAACACCCCCUUAUGAAGCUGAGAAGACACACAAACUUUAUAUUAUAAUGUUAUUUUAUAUAUCCCAUGAUGUUGAAAGUAACAAUUCUUUAACCUACCAUCAUUCAAACAAUAUGCUUUCCUGCCGGAAUUAUACUUGGAUAUAAGAAUAUAAUAAACUUUAUUUUAUUUUAUAUAAUAAAGAAGAAACUAAUAAUGCUACUGCCACUUUGUCAUUGCUCCAUGAAUAGUACAGAAAUAUGACAACAAACAUGCAUAAUGCUUGUACAUUGUAUAUUGUCAGUUCUGAAUUUGGAUCAUGAUCAAUGAUGUAAUGUUUUUUUUU